RNAcentral lists this transfer RNA (73 nucleotides) under Blastopirellula marina. RNAcentral describes it as "tRNA-Lys". It matches the Rfam family "tRNA". From Rfam's summary of the family: Transfer RNA (tRNA) molecules are approximately 80 nucleotides in length. Their secondary structure includes four short double-helical elements and three loops (D, anti-codon, and T loops). Lineage: Bacteria; Pseudomonadati; Planctomycetota; Planctomycetia; Pirellulales; Pirellulaceae. The record is from RNAcentral. RNAcentral also lists the same sequence under 3 other names.
GAGAUUGUAGCUCAGUCGGUAGAGCAACGGACUUUUAAUCCGUAGGUCCUGGGUUCGAGCCCCAGCAAUCUCA